UGGGGAAUAUUGCGCAAUGGGCGGAAGCCUGACGCAGCGACGCCGCGUGGGGGAUGACGGCCUUCGGGUUGUAAACCCCUUUCAGCAGGGACGAAGCUUUCGGGUGACGGUACCUGCAGAAGAAGCGCCGGCUAACUACGUGCCAGCAGCCGCGGUAAUACGUAGGGCGCAAGCGUUGUCCGGAAUUAUUGGGCGUAAAGAGCUCGUAGGCGGUUUGUCGCGUCUGUCGUGAAAGCCCACGGCUUAACCGUGGGUCUGCGGUGGAUACGGGCAGACUAGAGGCAGGUAGGGGAGAAUGGAAUUCCCGGUGUAGCGGUGAAAUGCGCAGAUAUCGGGAGGAACACCGGUGGCGAAGGCGGUUCUCUGGGCCUGUACUGACGCUGAGGAGCGAAAGCGUGGGGAGCGAAC
This 408-nucleotide ribosomal RNA is filed under the name uncultured bacterium. RNAcentral's name for it is "bacterial SSU rRNA". It matches the Rfam family "Bacterial small subunit ribosomal RNA", at positions 355 to 773 of the family's 1533-position model. The record is from RNAcentral.